AUGAUAUUAAAUCACUCAAGACAUGAAAUACAAACAUCACAAGUGACAUCACAAGUGACAUCACGGCACAAUAUUUGCCAUGUGUCAUCUGAUGUGGUCUUCACCUCGCAGGCCCGGAGGCUCCGAGGCUCUGGAGGAGAGCCGGGUGUCGGCCGGGGGCCGAGGUCCUGGUGGAAGCAGAGUGAAGUCUGUGCUCUCAGGAAACUUCCUCCUGUGCUUUGUGUGGACGCACACGCUGUCACCUGCAGCUCCGUGUGUCCUCCUGUCUGGGUGUGUCCUACUGUCCGUCACCUCACGUCCUACACAGUCACCUGCAGCUCGGUGUGUCCUCCUGUCCGUCACCUCACGUCCAACACAGUCACCUGCAGCUCCGUGUGUCCUCCUAUCCGUCACCUCCACGUCCAACACAGUCACCUGCAGCUCCGUGUGUACUCCUAUCCGUCACCUCACGUCCAACACAGUCACCUGCAGCUCCGUGUGUCCUCCUGUCCGUCACCUCACGUCCAACACAGUCACCUGCAGCUCUGUGUCCUCCUGUCCAUCACCUCACGUCCUACACAGUCACCUGCAGCUCCGUGUGUCCUCCUGUCUGGGUGUGUCCUCCUGUCUGGGUGUGUCCUACUGUCCGUCACCUCACGCCCUACACAGUCACCUGCAGCUCGGUGUGUCCUCCUGUCCGUCACCUCACGUCCAACACAGUCACCUGCAGCUCGGUGUGUCCUCCUGUCCGUCACCUCGUCCCAACACAGUCACCUGCAGCUCGGGUGUGUCCUCCUGUCCGUCACCUCACGUCCAACACAGUCACCUGCAGCUCCGUGUGUCCUCCUGUCCGUCACCUCACGUCCAACACAGUCACCUGCAGCUCUGUGUCCUCCUGUCCGUCACCUCACGUCCUACACAGUCACCUGCAGCUCGGUGUGUCCUCCUGUCCGUCAUCUCACGUCCAACACAGUCACCUGCAGCUCCGUGUGUCCUCCUGUCCGUCACCUCACGUCCAACACAGUCACCUGCAGCUCCGUGUGUCCUCCUGUCCGUCACCUCACGUCCUACACAGUCACCUGCAGCUCCGUGUGUCCUCCUGUCCGUCACCUCACGUCCUACACAGUCACCUGCAGCUCCGUGUGUCCUCCUGUCCGUCACCUCACGUCCAACACAGUCACCUGCAGCUCCGUGUGUCCUCCUGUCCGUCACCUGCAGGGAGAUGGUCCACCACACCAGUCACAUUGUGAGUUGACUUGUAUUGUUUCACAUUAUGACAUUGUACAAAUGGUUGUUCCCUGUGUUUGAAUUUUGGAAUGUGGACUGAAUGUGUUAAAAAGAAAAUACUUCAAAGUAUGUUGUCAGAUCUGCGUUGGAUUUAUAGUUACGGAGCUGGCUCUUGACACUGGAUUCAGUGUGUUCACAUCAUGUGUGGAACACAUGGGCUCUUCUGACUGCUCCUCUCUCUGCACACUGUAAAUCUACAUGUGUUCAGCUCUCACACAGAUGGAGGAUGACGGAUUAAAGGUAGAAGAAGUGUAUCUGCUUCCAGGAGAUGUGCCCUCCUUUGCUAUCUUAACGAUAAGUGUGAUGAGCAUGUUGUGCUCAGUUGCAUUGUUCGGGAUGUGUUGAGAAGUGUGAAGACCUUCAUCCUCACCAGCACAGACGCUGUAAAAGGAACUUCACACAGCACAACUGUUGGUAAUGUGAUGAAAUACAAACACUGCUCAGCACUUUGACAAGUCCAUUUCAACAGCCUGACGCCAGAAGACAGAAGACGCCCGAGCCGCCGGAACCGAUUGGUCCGUUUAGUUUCAGUGACUCGGACAGGAAGCGCGUGUGGUCAGAGUUACAGUUCACAUCAUCUCUCACGAUGCCUACAGCUCUGUGGAUGUUCUCACCUGCUCUCGUUCCCCCGAGGAAUCGCACGGAGUUUAAAGAAGCGUGUUGUAAUUCUCCCUUGAAUAUGGAUCCACACUCAACAGCUUGACUGUUACUUUGGAGCCACUUGGCUGUUGCUAGGGGACCGUUUGUUUGUGGUAGAUAACAGGACGGGGGUGGGGGUGUCAUAGUGACAAAGUUUUUACAAGGCUUUCUGGUGACCGUGUUAAAGAGCCACAGUUCCAGCUCAACAAUGGUCCAGCUGACGGGGUUAGUCAUGUGCAUUCACACCCGGCACAAGUGCUUCAUUUGACCUCUGGUGCGAUUCUUUCUCUGCCUUCGGUGGUUCGGUGGGAACCGACACGCUGGAUGUUGCCCGUCCUGCGCCAGUAAACAACCUCAGAUCCUAUGUUUUAUGGGUAAUGAGGCGAGGACGCAGUCACUGGAGCAUGUCAGCGUCUGGACUCGUGUUCUUACAGUACGUGGUAUGAACUCCAGGACACUGAUAUAAUCCUCAUGAAAUCAUUAAAGAAUGAAGGUUUCCGUCUCAAGCAUGUCGAAGCUCCUCCAGAACCACAGCAGACAUCAU
This is a long non-coding RNA of Scophthalmus maximus (turbot), 2449 nucleotides long. Lineage: Eukaryota; Metazoa; Chordata; Actinopteri; Pleuronectiformes; Scophthalmidae. The record is from Ensembl.